RNAcentral lists this transfer RNA (71 nucleotides) under Rhabdopleura sp. NHMO H2136. RNAcentral describes it as "tRNA-Leu". It matches the Rfam family "tRNA". Rfam says of the family: Transfer RNA (tRNA) molecules are approximately 80 nucleotides in length. Lineage: Eukaryota; Metazoa; Hemichordata; Pterobranchia; Rhabdopleurida; Rhabdopleuridae. The record is from RNAcentral.
UUCAUGGAAGCAUAGUGUCUGUGCAUAAGACCUAAAAUCUUAUUGUAAAGGUUAGAUUCCUUUUCAUGAUA